AUUCUAGUUUGGAUCAGUUAUUUUGCGAUGGGCCUGAGAUAGAAUUAAUUAGUUCUCUUGGGCUGGGAUUUUAAAUUGUGGAAAUUUUGGAGACGCAAGAAAAGGGAAAAGGUGUUCUCAAGUCACGAAAAUAAUCAAGUUUAUGAAAGAAGUACAGUUAAUUAAAUUUCCGAUUUAAUUAAUAUGCAAGUUUCUAAAAAUAAUUUCUAGAAGUGAACGAAGGAUAAAAGAAAUUAAUCAGGGGUAUGCAUUCUAAUUAAAGUUUAAGAAUUUCUCGAGUCUUAUUAGUACGUUGUUUGUUUUCAAAAGGCUAUCUCCGCAAGUUAAGGGUCGAGUCAGGAAAAUUCAAGUUAAGGAGUUUUAAGCGAACGAGGUUGAGCAGUGAUGACGGCGGGCAGUGUUGAGCAUAGACGAUGAAGAUUCUUCGAUAGAAUAGUACUCGGAUGCGACGUGUCUCCAUACAAGACGUUAUCUGCUCUUGACUCUUCCGUUGCAAUGUAAAAGUCGAGUUUGCGCUCUUUGUAUCGUGCACUCAUAUAUAUAUUAUUUGAGUUUUUUCGGUUCAA
Long non-coding RNA from Salvia splendens (bonfire salvia), 566 nucleotides. RefSeq lists it as uncharacterized. Lineage: Eukaryota; Viridiplantae; Streptophyta; Magnoliopsida; Lamiales; Lamiaceae. The transcript has 2 exons. The record is from RefSeq and is a predicted model, not a curated record.